Molecule: long non-coding RNA, 1839 nt
Organism: Psammomys obesus (fat sand rat)
Lineage: Eukaryota; Metazoa; Chordata; Mammalia; Rodentia; Muridae
Exons: 3
Source: RefSeq, a predicted model, not a curated record
CGAGUCCGCGUACCCAGGGAAAGCGGUGUGUCGCCAUCUUUUUUGUGGGCAAAGACCCCUUCGCGAUUUAGGUUCCCAAAGAAGGCUUCUCACAAAGCUCAUAGAGAGACGUUCGGAGGAGAAUGGGCAUCUUGCAUACUGAAACAUCGACCUGAAGUGUUGGGGGUCGAAGUGGCAACCCAUGAAACCGAGAAUAAACGGGAGGCCUGCCCUGAGUAAAGAACUGGGUUGUGGCACACAAGCUGCAUGAGACGAUCUGACAUGGAUCUCAUAACUGCUGUUUCUUCAUCUACAUUAGAGCACUGGUCAGACCUGACAGCUCAGAAUGAUGUAAGUGAGGCUGGAUCGAAACACCCAGGAAAGUAUGUGCCACCACAGCCUGCUGGGAGAAGGGUUAAAAACCCCCAAAGGAAAGCCACAAGGGAUGGACUGGAUCACUGAUCUUCACAAGGAGUGGAAAUGUGGAAUUCAUUACAUAGCCACAAAGAAAUGCACUUUUUUUUUUUUUUUUCUGGAGGUGAAUUUUCUGCUUGCUGAACAGAGCAGAUGGCUGCGCUUGAGAUGGGAAAGGAAAUUGCUAGCCCCGUCCUCUGGCAUAGAAUUAAGGAAGAAACAAUUGACUAACUCACCAAUCUGGGCUCUGAUCCUUCUUCUGUACCCUCUGAAGGUUUCUCCUGCAGAUGUGCCUGUCAUCAGAGAGUCUUUGAGGAGCACUGCCCUGAUUCACUUCUCCUAAACUGAUGGGGAUCUGCCUCACCUGUGUGCUGCACCCAGAUUCUCAGCCGCCUUCCCUGAGCCCCUGCAGUCUGUUCCUGCCAAGCUGCAGGACUUCUUCCUUUGAAUUCUCUCUUUCUGCCCAGUAGGGUACAUAGUAGGUUUCUGUUUUCUGUAUACAUACAUACAUAGAUGCCGUUUAUUUCUGGAGUGGCCAAAAUGGAUGGUGCUUGAAGCUUUCCUAUAAUGCCCCACAUUAACAAAGUGGCCACUGUCCUGAUUUGUCGGUGACUUUUCCAGCUUCAGCCUCAGCAAAUUGGCAUCUUGGGUGGCUUACUGGAAGAUUCCAUAUGUUCAUCUUCAUGGGUCCUUCACAUCAUGGAAGAGGAUGACAUUAAACAAAUGAUUCCACAACAAAAUGAGCAGCUUGCCCUCUGGAUUAGUGGGCUCUGCAUCUACUGACUUAGCCAAACUCUGACUGAAAAUUUCCAAUAGAAAUUGCAUUUGUACCAAAAAAUGCAGACUCUUUCCUUCCUGACACUGCCCCCCCCAAACUACAGUGUAACAUCUGUGGUGUAUCUCCAUUGGAUGUGGGGGAUGUACACAGGUUACACAGGAAUGCUGUUACAUCCACAUAAGGGCUUGGAGCAUCCUGGAGGGAAGAAGGAAGGCUACUCUGAAUGAGGGCAGGAACACUCCACAGGCCAGGGCACUGGACUCAAAAAAAAAAAAAAAGGAAAGGAGAAAGCCAGCUGACUACCAGCAUACCAGUGUCUGUCUCUCUAUAUAUCCUGCUCUGGCUAGAUGGCAGUGAGCUCCUAAUGCCACCAUCAUAGACUGCAUCCUCUGAACCAUGAGCUGCAAUAAACUUCCCCUCUGAUGUACUGUUCUGUCGGGCAUUUUGUCUAAGCAGUGAGAAAGUAACUGAUAGAAUUACUCUAACUAUACUGUGCCCAGAAAUCACACCAAUGAAUGGAAAAGUGCCUUGAUCAAGAGGGACACAGCCUGUCUAACACAAAGUGAUGGGUGCAGUGAACCGGAGGCCUACAGUCUCUUGGCCCCGAUUACCUGGCACUGCUUGUAUUUUAAUUAGCAUUUCAAGUACCAGAAGCUCUCUCUGAUGAA